UACGUAGGGCGCAAGCGUUAUCCGGAAUUACUGGGCGUAAAGCGUGCGCAGGCGGUUCUGAAAGUCAGCUGUGAAAGCCCCGGGCUUAACCUGGGAAUGGCGGUUGAAACUACAGGACUAGAAUCUGGCAGAGGGGGGUGGAAUUCCACGUGUAGCAGUGAAAUGCGUAGAGAUGUGGAGGAACACCGAUGGCGAAGGCAGCCCCCUGGGCUGAGAUUGACGCUCAGGCACGAAAGCGUGGGGAGCAAACAGG
This 253-nucleotide ribosomal RNA is filed under the name uncultured bacterium. RNAcentral's name for it is "partial 16S ribosomal RNA". It matches the Rfam family "Bacterial small subunit ribosomal RNA", at positions 524 to 776 of the family's 1533-position model. The record is from RNAcentral.